GUCGUUCGGGGAGGGGCUCGCGUACCAUUAGCUUGUUGGUGGGGUAAUGGCCUACCAAGGCGACGAUGGUUAGCUGGUCUGAGAGGAUGAUCAGCCACACUGGCACUGAAACACGGGCCAGACUCCUACGGGAGGCAGCAGUGAGGAAUUUUGCGCAAUGGGGGAAACCCUGACGCAGCAACGCCGCGUGAGUGAAGAAGGCCUUCGGGUCGUAAAGCUCUGUCAAGUGGGAAAAACGUCAGACGAUGAACAGUCGUCAGGCUUGAUGGUACCACUGGAGGAAGCACCGGCUAACUCCGUGCCAGCAGCCGCGGUAAUACGGAGGGUGCAAGCGUUGUUCGGAAUUACUGGGCGUAAAGAGCGUGUAGGCGGCAAGGUAAGUCAGGCGUGAAAGCCCUGGGCUUAACCCAGGAAGUGCGUUUGAAACUGCCUCGCUAGAGUAUGGGAGAGGAGAGUGGAAUUCCCGGUGUAGAGGUGAAAUUCGUAGAUAUCGGGAGGAACACCCGUGGCGAAGGCGACUCUCUGGACCAAUACUGACGCUGAGACGCGAAAGCGUGGGGAGCAAACAGGAUUAGAUACCCUGGUAGUCCACGCCGUAAACGAUGAGCACUAGGUGUAGCGGGUAUUGACCCCUGCUGUGCCGUAGCUAACGCAUUAAGUGCUCCGCCUGGGGAGUACGGCCGCAAGGCUAAAACUCAAAGGAAUUGGCGGGGGCCCGCACAAGCGGUGGAGCAUGUGGUUUAAUUCGACGCAACGCGAAGAACCUUACCUGGGUUUGACAUCCCCUGACCGCCCGGGAAACCGGGUUUACCCUGCUUGCAGGGACAGGGCGACAGGUGCUGCAUGGCUGUCGUCAGCUCGUGUCGUGAGAUGUUGGGUUAAGUCCCGCAACGAGCGCAACCCUUUUCUUUAGUUGCCAGUAUUCAGUUAGGCACUCUAAAGAGACUGCCUCGGCUAACGGGGAGGAAGGUGGGGAUGACGUCAAGUCCUCAUGGCCUUUAUACCCAGGGCUACACACGUGCUACAAUGGGUCGUACAAUGGGUUGCGAAGCCGCGAGGUGGAGCCAAUCCCAAAAAGCGGCUCUCAGUUCGGAUUGGAGUCUGCAACUCGACUUCAUGAAGGUGGAAUCGCUAGUAAUCGUGGAUCAGCAUGCCACGGUGAUACGUUCCCGGGCAUUGUACACACCGCCCGUCACACC
Molecule: ribosomal RNA, 1199 nt
Filed under: uncultured organism
Description: bacterial SSU rRNA
Rfam family: Bacterial small subunit ribosomal RNA
Source: RNAcentral